GGAUUGUGGCUCAGCGGUAGAGCGCUCCCUUAGCACAGGUGGGACUCGGGUUCGAUUCUCAGCACCA
This 67-nucleotide transfer RNA is filed under the name Marmota monax (woodchuck). RNAcentral describes it as "tRNA.Ala". Lineage: Eukaryota; Metazoa; Chordata; Mammalia; Rodentia; Sciuridae. The record is from RNAcentral.